UACGUAGGGGGCGAGCGUUGUCCGGAAUCAUUGGGCGUAAAGCGCAUGUAGGCGGCCCAGUAAGUCGGAUGUGAAAUCCCGAGGCUCAACCUCGGAACUGCAUACGAUACUGCUGGGCUUGAGGAAGGUAGAGGAGAGUGGAAUUCCCGGUGUAGCGGUGGAAUGCGCAGAUAUCGGGAGGAACACCAGCGGCGAAAGCGGCUCUCUGGGCCUUAUCUGACGCUGAGAUGCGAAAGCGUGGGUAGCGAACAGG
This 253-nucleotide ribosomal RNA is filed under the name uncultured prokaryote. RNAcentral describes it as "partial 16S ribosomal RNA". It matches the Rfam family "Bacterial small subunit ribosomal RNA", at positions 524 to 776 of the family's 1533-position model. The record is from RNAcentral.